GACGAACGCUGGCGGCGUGCUUAACACAUGCAAGUGGAGCGACGAACCAGACUUCGGGUCUGGGGCAGAGCCGCGAACGGGUGAGUAACACGUGGGUAACGUGCCUCGAUGACCGGGACAACCCGAGGAAACUCGGGCUAAUACCGGAUGUGCUCACAUCACAUCAGUGAUGUAAGUAAAGGUAGCUUCGGCCUCCGCAUCGAGAUCGGCCCGCGGCGCAUUAGCUGUUGGUGGGGUAACGGCCUACCAAGGCGACGAUGCGUAGCUGGUCUGAGAGGACGAUCAGCCACACUGGGACUGAGACGCGGCCCAGACUCCUACGGGAGGCAGCAGUGGGGAAUCUUGCGCAAUGCGCGAAAGCGUGACGCAGCAACGCCGCGUGGGGGAAGAAGGCCUGG
This 398-nucleotide ribosomal RNA is filed under the name uncultured bacterium. RNAcentral's name for it is "bacterial SSU rRNA". It matches the Rfam family "Bacterial small subunit ribosomal RNA", at positions 28 to 419 of the family's 1533-position model. The record is from RNAcentral.